GAUGAACGCUGGCGGCGUGCCUAAUACAUGCAAGUCGAGCGAACAGACGAGGAGCUUGCUCCUCUGACGUUAGCGGCGGACGGGUGAGUAACACGUGGAUAACCUACCUAUAAGACUGGGAUAACUUCGGGAAGCCGGAGCUAAUACCGGUUAAUUUAUUGAACCGCAUGGUUCAUUAGUGAAAGACGGUUUUGCUGUCGCUUAUAGAUGGAUCCGCGCCGCAUUAGCUAGUUGGUAAGGUAACGGCUUACCAAGGAAACGAUGCGUAGCCGACCUGAGAGGGUGAUCGGCCACACGGGAACUGAGAAAGGGUCCAGACUCCGAAGGGAGGCAGCAGUAGGGAAUCUUCCGCAAUGGGCGAAAGCCGGACGGAGCAACGCCGCGUGAGUGAUGAAGGUCUUCGGAUCGUAAAACGCUGUUAUUAGGGAAGAACAAAUGUGUAAGUAACUAUGCACGUCUUGACGGUACCUAAUCAGAAAGCCACGGCUAACUACGUG
This 497-nucleotide ribosomal RNA is filed under the name uncultured bacterium. RNAcentral's name for it is "partial 16S ribosomal RNA". It matches the Rfam family "Bacterial small subunit ribosomal RNA", at positions 28 to 507 of the family's 1533-position model. The record is from RNAcentral.